This 505-nucleotide ribosomal RNA is filed under the name uncultured bacterium. Its description in RNAcentral is "partial 16S ribosomal RNA". It matches the Rfam family "Bacterial small subunit ribosomal RNA", at positions 355 to 850 of the family's 1533-position model. The record is from RNAcentral.
UGGGGAAUUUUGGACAAUGGGCGAAAGCCUGAUCCAGCAAUGCCGCGUGUGUGAAGAAGGCCUUCGGGUUGUAAAGCACUUUUGUCCGGAAAGAAAUCCUUGGCUCUAAUACAGUCGGGGGAUGACGGUACCGGAAGAAUAAGCACCGGCUAACUACGUGCCAGCAGCCGCGGUAAUACGUAGGGUGCAAGCGUUAAUCGGAAUUACUGGGCGUAAAGCGUGCGCAGGCGGUUUGCUAAGACCGAUGUGAAAUCCCGGGCUCAACCUGGGAACUGCAUUGGUGACUGGCAGGCUAGAGUAUGGCAGAGGGGGGUAGAAUUCCACGUGUAGCAGUGAAAUGCGUAGAGAUGUGGAGGAAUACCGAUGGCGAAGGCAGCCCCCUGGGCCAAAUACUGACGCUCAUGACGAAAGCGUGGGGAGCAAACAGGAUUAGAUACCCUGGUAGUCCACGCCCCUAAAACGAUGUCAACUAGUUGUUGGGGGAUUCAAUUUCCUUAGUAACGUA